CCUGUAGAGUGAAGUUAAUACCCGAAGUUUGGAGUUAUCUUCCGUUGUUUGCUCCUUAAGCGAUGGAGCGGCGUGGAGCGCGGCUUUAAGACAUGGAGGACCGACACACGUGCGGCCGAGAAUCGAGGCAUCUGUCGAUGCGCGCUGCUCUGAGUUGUAAAUGCACGUAGGGAUCGAAGCGACAGGGGCAAACCAGUCCAAGGAACGGCCUCCGUUGAUAGAACGACAUCCUUUACGCAAACCACGUAGUGAGCCAGAACGAGUUUUUUUUAAGAUACGGAGGGAGUAGUUUAGUCAAAUUAGUACAUCAGGAGUCUGCAUUCAUUAAGGGUAGUUUGGUCUUCGUUGAACUGUUUUUAAUAGCCUUUAGUCACUUUUAGUCACUAGAACAAACUGAGGUGACUAAAGUUUAGUUAUUCAUUUUAGUAGCUAAAUUUUAGUCAUGUAAAAUCAAACAGACCCUAGUUAUUAAAUUUUAAAAAGCUUAGCACCUUCAUAAGUGAGAUAUGCACUUAUUUAGUUAUUUCUGCUUAUUUAGGACAAUUCCAAAUCUGGAGCACAUCCACCUUAGAGCAUCUAUUGGAGAGCUCCACGGUGAAUCUGUGCAGGCGGCGUCAUUCUGCGGAGCCCAUUUGUGAGAGCUCCUUCUCCUUCUUUGGCCCACUGACAGCUGGGCCCGUAUGUCAGAGUCCUCUUCCUCACCUAAGCAGAGCAGCACGACGGAGGUAGGGCCAAGAGCAGCCGGUGGCGGGGCUGGCGCGACCGGCGCAAGGCAGCCGUGGCCGGAGACAAGGCCGGAGCUACCAAGCGCGACCGGCGACGAGCUCGAUGCGGCCAAGCGCAUCUAGGGGCGUUGUUGGGGCGGGCGCGGCCUUGGCCGGCGCGAGUGCGGCCAUGGUCGGCAGGAGCGGGAGCGGCGGAGCGACUAGGGGCGCGGUCACGACCGGCUCUAGCAUGGGAGCAGCCAGGGGGCGCGGGAGCGACCGAGCGCGAUCAAGGACAGGGCCGACACGGCCGAGUCUGCACGACCGAUGGCGUGGACGGGGUCCAGUGCUACCGGCGCGGCUAGGGGCCAGCGGGAGCGGCCGUCGGUGGCCAUGGCCAGUCCCGGCGAGCGGCAGGGAUGGACCUGCGUGGCCAUGGAUGCGCUUCGGUGGCUUGCGAAAGAAAGAGAAGAGAGAAACGUACCGCUGUUUUCCACUAUCAGGCCUUGUUUAAUCACACAUUUGGGUACCAUAAACCGGGAUACCCAAAUUAAGAGAAUUAAAAAUGGCAAAAAGUAGUAAAAGCGACGCCCGAUUUCUUGGGCUCGGGCGCAAUUUCCGCCUCGCCAUAUGCUCCACUGCUUGUGCAGGCCCCCGUCAAUUCCUUUGAG
Molecule: long non-coding RNA, 1375 nt
Organism: Sorghum bicolor (sorghum)
Lineage: Eukaryota; Viridiplantae; Streptophyta; Magnoliopsida; Poales; Poaceae
Exons: 2
Source: RefSeq, a predicted model, not a curated record